GUCAGAAGACAAUCUGAAGGAGUGGAUUCUCUUCCUCCACCAUGUGAAGCUUGGAAAUUGAUCUCAAGUCUUCAGACUUGGCAGCAAGUGCUUUUAACCACUGAUCCAUCCCAUCUGUCAGAAAUGUGUCAUUCUGAAGAUGUCCCCCUGGCCCACCGAGAAGCAUGAGUUAGCAAAACUAUUACUGGACCACCGGGUUUCCUCUUGUGACACAGACAAGGACCGAGGUGCCCAUUGCAGCGUGGAAAGAGCAGAGCUGUGACUAAUUCCCUGGCACUCUCUGCCAGCCAAGGUCAAUGCUUACCAGCUCUCCAUUUCGUGAAGAAGCCCGGAAGAUAGGCCAGCAGCACUCAGUAGGACCUCAUUCCUGGGGCAUGGGAUGAGUCCACCCCACCGUGGCCAGAGGUGACCAAUCUCUGGAACGAGGUGUGAAGAAUACUCAUUCAGCUGAUUUAGGGAGACAGACCUCUUGGAGGAGUGGGUGUCACUGGAUCUGAGGACUCUGCAAGACAGAACGUUUGGGUUUCCAGCCUUGGGCUUGUUCAUCCUUGCCCAUGUCUCUUCUCUCUCUACCCUCCCCGUCUUCUACUCUAUCCCCUCUUUCCACAUGUGAUAAGCAGAGAAAACAAAACAAAGCUGCAAACCGAGUCUGCAUCGUGAAUCCAUUGCUUUCCAGCUGUGGAAUCUUCCUUAAGGAAGAUACACCUUGGGUCCUCCUCAGUCUUCAUCCGUAAACUAAAGUAUCGAGGUUUAACCUUGUCUGGGAGACAUUAAGCGUGGCUUAGGAAAGGAAUUUUCACCUCAGGUCUGCCCUGUGGGGUUGUGAUGAAGACUCUGUGAUGGAGACUGCUAGUGAGCUCUAUGUGUCUGCCAAACCCAGUCCCAGGUGUUUUAGCUGCAGGUGAUGCUGCAGGUACUGUAUAGGCCUCAGGUCAUAGUGGGAACUGCAGUCGAGAGCAUUCAGAAUAUGCUGAGGCCCAUGCAGGCAGGUGUCAGGACCUAGGACAGUCCUGCCUUGCUGGUACCUUGUUCCACCUGCUGUUGGCUUUCUUGGUCUGAGCUUCCUUCAGGACCACGUGGGAGCCAGACUCCAGUUAAAGGUAGAGUCCUUGGUCAGCAGAGAUGUUGGCACUGUUGGAUUUUCCUGUUUUCUAUUUUUUGUGUCUUCCAAAAGUUCUGCCUUGCACCACACUGGUUUUUGGG
Long non-coding RNA from Arvicanthis niloticus (Nile rat), 1203 nucleotides. RefSeq lists it as uncharacterized. The record is from RefSeq and is a predicted model, not a curated record. Lineage: Eukaryota; Metazoa; Chordata; Mammalia; Rodentia; Muridae.